GACGAACGCUGGCGGCGUGGAUUAGGCAUGCAAGUCGAACGGUAUCAUCCUUUCGGGGGUGAGAGAGUGGCGAACUGGUGAGUAACACGUAGGUUAUCUACCCUCAAGACGGGGACAACCCAGGGAAACUUGGGCUAAUACCGGAUGUGAGCAACUUUUAGUUGUUUGAAAGGUGGCGUAAGCUGUCGCUUGGGGAUGAGCCUGCGUCCUAUUAGUUAGUUGGUGAGGUAACGGCUCACCUAGGCAAUGAUAGGUAGGCGGCCUUAACGGGUGGUCGCCCACACUGGGAUUGAGAUACGGCCCAGACUCCUACGGGAGGCAGCAGUCGAGAAUAGUCUACAAUGGUCGGAAGACUGAUAGUGCGACGCCGCGUGAACGAUGAAUCCCUUCGGGGUGUAAAGUUCUUUUAUAUGUGAGCAGUGCUUCUUAUAUUAACAGUAUGGGGAGAGAGAUAUUAGCAUAUGAAUAAGCAACGGCUAACUCCGUGCCAGCAGCCGCCGGUAAUAC
RNAcentral lists this ribosomal RNA (507 nucleotides) under uncultured bacterium. RNAcentral describes it as "bacterial SSU rRNA". It matches the Rfam family "Bacterial small subunit ribosomal RNA", at positions 28 to 526 of the family's 1533-position model. The record is from RNAcentral.